CGAGUUGGUGGCAGUGGACGGUUGAGGAAGUCGCUAACCAAGCCAAUACUUCUGUGUUUUUGUGCAAAUUGACAGGUGCUUUCAUUGUAUAUCAAAAUGCUGUAAAAGGACAUUGUUAUGUUAGGAGUUGUUUCACAGAAGGCAUCACAGCAUACAUCAAUUAAUUUCCCCUUUAAAUUGCACUAUUUGAACAGGAAUUUGGUGCCCAAACAGGCGAGGGUACAUGCCAGUACUCUUUAUCAGUAAUGUUUGCAUUGCUAUGAGUAAAUGUUACAAAGGAAAAUGUAUUAGAUGUUCCAGACACUCAGUCUUGUUUAAAUACUAGGAAAGACAGUCAUGCUGAACCAUGAUGACAUAAUGGACAAAGACCUGUUGCCUCCUUAGUUUCAAUAGUUUCAAUUUAUUCCAGAUAAAAAAAAAUGUUGAAACAUCUCAACAUGAUACAACUAGCUUUGCUUUUACAAUUUAUGUUUUAAGUAUCCCACUGAGCAUUUUUUGGUCUAAAAGAGGUCUAAUAGAUGUCUAAAUGUAGCCUAGAUGACUGGUCUUAAAUCAGGCUACCACAGGUCUAAAAUUGAAAGAUUUUUAGAUGUCUAAAUUUAGACCAAGUUUAGACCAAAUCUAAAUCUGGGCUAUAUCUACAGUACGCUGUAUAUUGCUCAACGGCUCUCAUGAUUAUUUUGGUUAAGUACUUGGAGAUCAGUAGUGCAACUCACUGUUGCAUUCUGAAAUAAAUUCUGAAUAAUGGGCUAAAGUGCAAACGUCUAUAUUCCGUCUAAAAAUAUACAGAAUCUAGACGGUUGAAAUUCGGUCUAAAAAGAAACUAGAUUUCUAAUAGCCGUCCAUUGCUGUGGGAUAAUGCAAAGAAUUAUAUUUGUAUUUUUUCAGUCUCCACUCAACAUAAUAGUUUGUAUUUCUUUCUGGAGAUUAAUUCAUACAAUGCACAGCCUUGAGGAAAUCAAGUAUUACAUCACUCUGCAUCCCAAGCUUGGUCUGGUCUGUAGCAAGCUCCUCUUGUUUCUGCGUUUUACAUGAAAACAGAGCAGACUUGUAACAGAAACCAUACAGGUCCUGUUGGCCUGGACUGAACAGAGCAGCAGCUGUUCACAACUCUUGGGACGCUGAGAAGUGCUUGCAUGUAACAACAGCAUGAGCUGUCAAGAUAUGAGCUGUCAUUUUUAUAUGUGGGCUGUUAUUUCCAUGAAAGAAUACGGAGUGUCUCAAAGCAGAGAAAUGCUCACUUACUGUCUGUGCUCCACGCUCGGUCUAUAAAUAAAGUAGUCACACACGAGUGGCUGCUUCAGUCAGAGCUGACUGAUUUAUUAAAGCCUGCGGCCCUGAAUGUCCUGCAGCGAGGGAGCACUUAUCAAGGUAACCUCUGACUCUGCUUGAUACAAAACACACAACCUGAUUUUGAGCUCUUCUUGAGAUGAUGAAGAUAGAUCAGGUUAGAAACUAGGGAAUCUAAUCUCAUUAACGGCACCAUGAGACCUAAAUAUGCUUUUAUUCUCACACAUAGACAGCAUGCGUGUUCUCACAGGUGUGUUUCAUUUUAACAGGCAGUCGGGGCCGCAUGAAAGGAGUUUACUUUUGUGUAUCUGAUAGAUUUCUUGAAAUGAGAGGUUUUAAAUACCAUGCGGGAUUGCAGAGGUUGUACCCUAACCUUCACAUAGUUUGCAUAGAAGCCUCUGUUUGCCUGCGACUACCUGAGCCGGGAAAACCGCAGGAAUGCAUUCCUUUGCAUUCCUUUGCAUUUCACUGGAUUUGGCUUAGCACAACUAGGAGACAAAAUGCCAAGAGGUUUGUUUGUACAUUAUGUGUGUUGUUUUGCAUUCCUGGUUGUUCCUUUACAAGAGCAGCAGCAGCAGGCCUCUAGUUUGAGGUUUAAAGUGAAGUUUGGUAUUCAGACAGUUACAGUUUCUUGUACUGAGUGAAGUUGUUCCACCCUGUGUGAUCUUAUCUGCACUUGCAGGUAAGGAACUGAGGUUUGUCAGCUUCCGCUCUCGCAGACUCACAAACUUCCUCUGUUUUUUUACUUCCCCCUCCUGUCUGCACCUGUUCUUGGCAGACAGGUUGAGUCACAUUACCUGCUUUAUGAACGUCUCUUGCUCAACAGUCCAAUAGUUGUGUCAGUUCUGUGCGAGGCGUGGUGAUGCCUGUCCACUCAGGGUGCUAUACUGACAGCACAUUCUGUUAACCGCAGUGGCGUCACAGUUUGCAGUGUGCCAGCUCGUCAUCGUGAUCAGCAGAUGGUAGAGUGUGAGUUUUUGCCUCAGAUCCAGGCUGAGAGGCUGUUGCUUGAAUUAUCAGAUAGAAACCCCAUGUGGCAGCAGUUGAGUAUAUUCACAAGUAUUGAACUCAUGCUUCAGGCCCCAGGCUAUAUCAGUGUGUACACCCCAGGGGCUUACGGAUGGUGCGCAUGCUUAACAACGAAAAACAAAUAUAUGCCGGAUUGAGACACUGGCUGCUAUCAGCAUUGCACCCCUGGGAGUGUUGAUUUCUGCUGGCGUCUAAUAGCCUAUUCCUCAGAGCCAUAUGUGCCCUUCCAAGAGGAAAGUCCCACAACAGCAACUCCUGCUGUGGGACUCAGCUCAGAAAUGUUUAAAAGUUGUGCUGAAAAAAGCUGUUUUUUUAAUGGCCACAUACUUAACUUCCUCUGGAGAUGCAACAUCAGAGUGUGUUUACAGUAGAGACAUUUCAGUAAUGUUCUUUUCCUUACAGAUAACAAAUCCUGAACUUGGGUGAGCUUUUUGGCCAACGCCAAGUACUUUCUCUGAUAGUAAUGGAAACAAAACAUAGUAUUAUCAACCAACACUGAUUACUGUCAUUAUGCUAGCUCCAACUUUUGGUGAUAAUCAGUUAGGACCAAUUUCCACUUGAGUGCGUGACUGGUGAAUACAGUGCUAACAUAGAAAAAGUCACUUAACGCAGCCUAAAAUUUGACACUGUUAAUUCUGCAAUUGGUGCAAUUACAGGUGAAUAAAAAUCGGCAAUCCUCGAAAUAAUGUGCACCCCAAAUAACACAUUUCCUCUGAACUGUAAAUCACAAUCCAGAGGAGGUAUUUGUAUCUGUAGAGAGAGAGUGUUCUCUGUCUGUUAUUUUGUCAUGAUCACCAGUUUGCCAUGUACAUCAGUGAUUGGCCAGUGCUUGAAGGCACAGGACAAAAUACAUUUAAUUUUAAGGCUAUUUUGAUAUUUAGCCCCCACACAUCUUGGCAACUGAGUUUUCAUGUGUAAUGGAAAAGCUCUGACGUGCACAAGUAUUGUAGGAAAUGGUGUUUUGAUAAAACUGAAGAAAAAACUCAUCAUGCCACCAAGGCACAGAAAAUUAUGUAGGUGUAAGAUUUCUUAUUGACAGGCUACAGUCAAGUCAUGUAGUUUUCAUAAAGGCAGUGUUAAAACCAUGUCUCAUUAUUGUGAACCUGGUCUCACGAAGACUCCCUACUCUACAUGGUAUUUCAAAGAGAAGUCUGAUUCUUAGUUAAAUAGCCGAGCUAUGAGUAAAAGUGAUCCUGUUCUGAAGGAGCAGUAAAGUAUGAAAGCAGUGGCCCAGAUGUGUUAGACAGGCAGACAGAGCCCACUGGCGAACAUGGCUGCCCUUGAUAGUGAAGCUGUUGUAGUUCAGCCAGACAACCAUGGAUGACUGGUCAGUGAGUUGACAAAACUCUGACUUCUUCACAGGCCUGGCUUAUGAACAACUACACUCACUUAUGUUGUGUUCAUCUGAAAGUCAGACUGACAUUGUUAAGUAGGACAAGUCAGGGUGAUUACAUUACAACAGCUGUUUUGAGAAGGCUCUACUCAUUACUUAAGAUGUAACAUGUGCCAACCAGCUUCAGAUUCCUCUGGGUGGGUGCCAAACAUUCCUAGUAUGAAUCAGCUACAUCGAAGGAAAAUCAUACUUCGAGUAUAGGAGGAUAAGCUUUUUGUUUGUUGUGUUUUGUAAGAGAACUAGGUCCUUUUUAUCCCUCUCUAGACUGUUGUCAACAAGUGAUGAGAAAAGUCUAAAGAUGUCAGAGGCAAUCGAUUGUUAGCUAAGCCUCAUACUCGUAUUGCACGGCCUGAAAAGCUCCAGUGUCCAUGUUUAUUGACGAUCUUAUGACCCAGAUUUCUUGGUAACAUUUCAGAUUCUCAUUUCUGUGGCAGAUUUUAUUCGCUGAGGCUAGCUGAUUCAGCUUAUGUCAGCACCAGGUUCACUUGGUUCAGAAUGUAGGCCAACUCUGUGUUUUUUAGUUGCCUCAUAUUAAAACAAAGUGAUUUAGAUAUAUGAUCAAGAUGGCUCAAGAUCAGUAUCAGCUGUGAUCCAUACGAACAGACUUUGGACCAGCUAAUGCAAGCUAAUGCUCUUAACUUUCCAGCCUGGUUAACAUACUGUGACAUGUUUUUAGAAAGGGCUAAGUUUAUUGAUCAGAACUCAAACAAAAAGUGGUUAAACAAAAAGAUAAUCUUAUUUCUACAAUGACAGCUUGGUAAAUUUGUCUUCAAAUGUAACAAAUUAAAUGUCUGAAGGACACGAAAAGCAUGUUUUUCGGCACAUUUAACUCAUACAAACUGUGUCCCUAUUCAAGAGUAGGACCCUUCAAAGAACUUCACCUGCAAAGAUCACUGAAGUAUGUCUGGUCUACGGGGGAUUACCUGUUUGCAUCGUCUGCUUUUAACCACAUGUAAAUUAGCAUCACUCCUCU
Non-coding RNA from Xyrichtys novacula (pearly razorfish), 4685 nucleotides. The record is from the annotation of a GenBank genome assembly. Lineage: Eukaryota; Metazoa; Chordata; Actinopteri; Labriformes; Labridae.